RNAcentral lists this unclassified non-coding RNA (323 nucleotides) under soil metagenome. Its description in RNAcentral is "partial contains 5.8S ribosomal RNA, internal transcribed spacer 2, and large subunit ribosomal RNA". The stretch from base 1 to 120 matches the Rfam family "5.8S ribosomal RNA", at positions 35 to 154 of the family's 154-position model. The record is from RNAcentral.
GAUGAAGAACGUAGCGAAAUGCGAUAAGUAAUGCGAAUUGCAGAAUUCAGUGAGUCAUCGAAUCUUUGAACGCACAUUGCGCCCUUUGGUAUUCCGCAGGGCAUGCCCGUUCGAGCGUCAUUUCAACCCUCAAGCUCUGCUUGGUGUUGGGCCCUGCCCGCUGCGGCCGGCCCUAAAGACAGUGGCGGUGCCGCCUGGCCCUGAGCGUAGUACAUCUCUCGCUCCAGUGCCCGGUGGUAGCCUGCCAGAACCCCAACUCUCGUGGUUGACCUCGGAUCAGGUAGGGAUACCCGCUGAACUUAAGCAUAUCAAUAAGCGGAGGA